RNAcentral lists this non-coding RNA (39 nucleotides) under Trichobilharzia regenti. The record is from RNAcentral. Lineage: Eukaryota; Metazoa; Platyhelminthes; Trematoda; Strigeidida; Schistosomatidae.
CAGCUGACGAGUCCCAAAUAGGACGAAAUGCGCAUCCUG